Quercus lobata is the source of this 252-nucleotide long non-coding RNA. RefSeq lists it as uncharacterized. Lineage: Eukaryota; Viridiplantae; Streptophyta; Magnoliopsida; Fagales; Fagaceae. The record is from RefSeq and is a predicted model, not a curated record. The transcript is spliced from 2 exons.
ACGCGCUGCUGGCGUUUUGGACAUUAUUACCGUUGGACGUUGCAUUUACAAAAAUGCCCCUAAUAUCUCACGCAAACUCACACAAACUCAUCAGUUCUCUCACACUCACCCAUCUCAUCUCUCUGCUCUUCACUCCGCAUGCCCUCACCCCCACGCCUCCCAGCCUCGCUUGUAUUUCUGCGCUCUGCUCCGUGGUAGAGAUUUGCUACCAAAACACCAAGCAACACUGAUCUGCUACCAAAAACCACCAGG